RNAcentral lists this ribosomal RNA (156 nucleotides) under Pyrenophora teres. RNAcentral describes it as "5.8S ribosomal RNA". It matches the Rfam family "5.8S ribosomal RNA". Rfam says of the family: 5.8S ribosomal RNA (5.8S rRNA) is a component of the large subunit of the eukaryotic ribosome. The record is from RNAcentral. Lineage: Eukaryota; Fungi; Ascomycota; Dothideomycetes; Pleosporales; Pleosporaceae.
AACUUUCAACAACGGAUCUCUUGGUUCUGGCAUCGAUGAAGAACGCAGCGAAAUGCGAUAAGUAGUGUGAAUUGCAGAAUUCAGUGAAUCAUCGAAUCUUUGAACGCACAUUGCGCCCUUUGGUAUUCCAAGGGCAUGCCUGUUCGAGCGUCAUUU